UAUAUAGGGGGGUGGGUGUUGAG
This 23-nucleotide small nuclear RNA is filed under the name Arabidopsis thaliana (thale cress). Its description in RNAcentral is "snRNA_08979". The record is from RNAcentral. Lineage: Eukaryota; Viridiplantae; Streptophyta; Magnoliopsida; Brassicales; Brassicaceae.